UGGGUCCAACCUCCCACCGUGUUAUCGUACCUUGUUGUUUCGGCGGGCCCGCCGUUUUGACGGCCGCCGGGGAGGCCUUGCGCCCCCGGGCCCGCGCCCGCCGAAGACCCCAACAUGAACGCUGUUCUGAAAGUAUGCAGUCUGAGUUGAUUAUCGUAAUCAGUUAAAACUUUCAACAACGGAUCUCUUGGUUCCGGCAUCGAUGAAGAACGCAGCGAAAUGCGAUAAGUAAUGUGAAUUGCAGAAUUCAGUGAAUCAUCGAGUCUUUGAACGCACAUUCCGCCCCCUGGUAUUCCGGGGGGCAUGCCUGUCCGAGCGUCAUUGCUCCCCUCAAGCACGGCUUGUGUGUUGGGCCCCCGUCCCCCUCUCCCGGGGGACGGGCCCGAAAGGCAGCGGCGGCACCGCGUCCGGUCCUCGAGCGUAUGGGGCUUUGUCACCUGCUCUGUAGGCCCGGCCGGCGCCAGCCGACACCCAACUUUAUUUUUCUAAGGUGACCUCGAUCAGUA
This 506-nucleotide ribosomal RNA is filed under the name Aspergillus fumigatus. RNAcentral describes it as "eukaryotic LSU rRNA". The stretch from base 168 to 321 matches the Rfam family "5.8S ribosomal RNA". The record is from RNAcentral. Lineage: Eukaryota; Fungi; Ascomycota; Eurotiomycetes; Eurotiales; Aspergillaceae.